GUGGGGAAUUUUGGACAAUGGGCGCAAGCCUGAUCCAGCAAUGCCGCGUGCAGGAAGAAGGCCUUCGGGUUGUAAACUGCUUUUGUACGGAACGAAAAGGCUCUGGCUAAUACCUGGAGCUCAUGACGGUACCGUAAGAAUAAGCACCGGCUAACUACGUGCCAGCAGCCGCGGUAAUACGUAGGGUGCGAGCGUUAAUCGGAAUUACUGGGCGUAAAGCGUGCGCAGGCGGUGCUGUAAGACAGGCGUGAAAUCCCCGGGCUCAACCUGGGAAUUGCGCUUGUGACUGCAGCGCUGGAGUGCGGCAGAGGGGGAUGGAAUUCCGCGUGUAGCAGUGAAAUGCGUAGAUAUGCGGAGGAACACCGAUGGCGAAGGCAAUCCCCUGGGCCUGCACUGACGCUCAUGCACGAAAGCGUGGGGAGCAAACAGGAUUAGAUACCCCUGUAGUCC
RNAcentral lists this ribosomal RNA (450 nucleotides) under uncultured bacterium. RNAcentral's name for it is "partial 16S ribosomal RNA". It matches the Rfam family "Bacterial small subunit ribosomal RNA", at positions 354 to 796 of the family's 1533-position model. The record is from RNAcentral.